RNAcentral lists this ribosomal RNA (590 nucleotides) under uncultured bacterium. Its description in RNAcentral is "bacterial SSU rRNA". It matches the Rfam family "Bacterial small subunit ribosomal RNA", at positions 332 to 922 of the family's 1533-position model. The record is from RNAcentral.
GCCCUUCCUACGGGAGGCAGCAGUGAGGAAUAUUGGUCAAUGGGCGGAAGCCUGAACCAGCCAUGCCGCGUGCGGGAAGAAGGCGCUACGCGUCGUAAACCGCUUUUGUCCGGGGGUAACCGCGGGGACGUGUCCCCGCCUGCAAGUACCGGACGAAUAAGGGUCGGCUAACUCCGUGCCAGCAGCCGCGGUAAUACGGAGGACCCGAGCGUUAUCCGGAUUCAUUGGGUUUAAAGGGUGCGUAGGCGGCCCGGUAAGUCAGCGGUGAAAGGCUCCUGCUCCACAGGAGAGCUGCCGUUGAUACUGCUGGGCUAGAAUCUUAGCGAGGCGGGCUGAAUGCGCGGUGUAGCGGUGAAAUGCAUAGAUAUCGCGCAGAACGCCGAUUUGGGAGCCAGCUCGCCAGCUGAGUAUUGACGCUGAGGCACGAGAGCGUGGGGAUCGAACAGGAUUAGAUACCCUGGUAGUCCACGCCGUAAACGAUGAUGGCUCGCUCUUGGUUCGCAAGGAUCAGGGGCUUAGCGAAAGCGUUAAGCCAUCCACCUGGGGAGUACGCCGGCAACGGUGAAACUCAAAGGAAUUGACGGAAGGGC